AGCUCCAAUAGCGUAUAUUAAAGUUGUUGCAGUUAAAAAGCUCGUAGUUGGAUUUCUGGAUGGAGCGACCGGUCGGGCAUUAAUUUGUCUGCACUGGAGUCGGUUCCGUCCAUCCUCUUGGAAAGUGCGUGGGGCAUUAAGUUGUCUGGCGUAUGAUCCAAGUCGUUUACUGUGAAAAAAUUAGAGUGUUUAAAGCAGGCCUUCGCCUUGAAUACAUUAGCAUGGAAUAAUAAGAUAGGACUUUGGUCUAUUUUGUUGGUUUGCAGACCGAAGUAAUGAUUAAUAGGGAUAGUUGGGGGUAUUUAUAUUCCGAUGUCAGAGGUGAAAUUCUUAGAUUUUCGGAAGAUAAACUUAUGCGAAAGCAUUUACCAAGGAUGUUUUCAUUAAUCAAGAACGAAAG
RNAcentral lists this ribosomal RNA (400 nucleotides) under phytoplankton environmental sample. RNAcentral's name for it is "partial small subunit ribosomal RNA". It matches the Rfam family "Eukaryotic small subunit ribosomal RNA", at positions 587 to 989 of the family's 1831-position model. The record is from RNAcentral.